Molecule: transfer RNA, 91 nt
Filed under: Monascus purpureus
Lineage: Eukaryota; Fungi; Ascomycota; Eurotiomycetes; Eurotiales; Aspergillaceae
Description: tRNA-Pro
Source: RNAcentral
GCCCGGGUGGUCUAGUGGUAUGAUUCUCGCUUAGGGUCAACCCUAAAGCUUAGCAUGCGAGAGGUCCCGCGUUCGAUCCGCGGCUCGGGCC